RNAcentral lists this ribosomal RNA (253 nucleotides) under uncultured bacterium. RNAcentral describes it as "partial 16S ribosomal RNA". It matches the Rfam family "Bacterial small subunit ribosomal RNA", at positions 524 to 776 of the family's 1533-position model. The record is from RNAcentral.
UACAGAGGGGGCAAGCGUUAUUCGGAAUUAUUGGGCGUAAAGGGCGCGUAGGCGGCUUUGCAAGUGACGGGUGAAAUCCCUCGGCUUAACCGAGGAACUGCCUGCCAAACUGCAUGGCUUGAGACCGGGAGAGGUGAGUGGAAUUCCCAGUGUAGCGGUGAAAUGCGUAGAUAUUGGGAGGAACACCAGUGGCGAAGGCGGCUCACUGGACCGGUACUGACGCUGAUGCGCGAAAGCGUGGGGAGCAAACAGG